This 1261-nucleotide ribosomal RNA is filed under the name Leuconostoc mesenteroides. RNAcentral's name for it is "bacterial SSU rRNA". It matches the Rfam family "Bacterial small subunit ribosomal RNA", at positions 69 to 1263 of the family's 1533-position model. Lineage: Bacteria; Bacillati; Bacillota; Bacilli; Lactobacillales; Lactobacillaceae. The record is from RNAcentral.
ACAUAAGGGCGACCAAUACAAAUUAAUGUUAGUGCGAUCGCACAGCUGAAAGGUGCUUGCACCUUUCAAGUGAGUGGCGAACGGGUGAUUAACACGUGGACAACCUGCCUCAAGGCUGGGGAUAACAUUUGGAAACAGAUGCUAAUACCGAAUAAAACUUAGUGUCGCAUGACACAAAGUUAAAAGGCGCUUCGGCGUCACCUAGAGAUGGAUCCGCGGUGCAUUAGUUAGUUGGUGGGGUAAAGGCCUACCAAGACAAUGAUGCAUAGCCGAGUUGAGAGACUGAUCGGCCACAUUGGGACUGAGACACGGCCCAAACUCCUACGGGAGGCUGCAGUAGGGAAUCUUCCACAAUGGGCGAAAGCCUGAUGGAGCAACGCCGCGUGUGUGAUGAAGGCUUUCGGGUCGUAAAGCACUGUUGUAUGGGAAGAACAGCUAGAAUAGGAAAUGAUUUUAGUUUGACGGUACCAUACCAGAAAGGGACGGCUAAAUACGUGCCAGCAGCCGCGGUAAUACGUAUGUCCCGAGCGUUAUCCGGAUUUAUUGGGCGUAAAGCGAGCGCAGACGGUUUAUUAAGUCUGAUGUGAAAGCCCGGAGCUCAACUCCGGAAUGGCAUUGGAAACUGGUUAACUUGAGUGCAGUAGAGGUAAGUGGAACUCCAUGUGUAGCGGUGGAAUGCGUAGAUAUAUGGAAGAACACCAGUGGCGAAGGCGGCUUACUGGACUGCAACUGACGUUGAGGCUCGAAAGUGUGGGUAGCAAACAGGAUUAGAUACCCUGGUAGUCCACACCGUAAACGAUGAACACUAGGUGUUAGGAGGUUUCCGCCUCUUAGUGCCGAAGCUAACGCAUUAAGUGUUCCGCCUGGGGAGUACGACCGCAAGGUUGAAACUCAAAGGAAUUGACGGGGACCCGCACAAGCGGGGGAGCAUGUGGUUUAAUUCGAAGCAACGCGAAGAACCUUACCAGGUCUUGACAUCCUUUGAAGCUUUUAGAAAAAGAAAGUGUUCUCUUCGGAAAACAAAGUGACAGGUGGUGCAUGGUCGUCCUCAGCUCGUGUCCUGAAGAUGUUGGGUUAAGUCCCCCACCGAGCCCAACCCUUAUUGUUAGUUGCCAGCAUUCAGAUGGGCACUCUAGCGAGACGGCCGGGGAAAAACCGGAAGAAAGGCGGGGAACAACGUCAGAAUUUUCAUGCCCCUUAUGAACCUGGGCUAACAACGGGCUACAAUGGCGUAAACAACGAAUUUUCCCACCCCCGGGGG